Molecule: ribosomal RNA, 1452 nt
Filed under: uncultured organism
Description: SSU rRNA
Rfam family: Bacterial small subunit ribosomal RNA
Source: RNAcentral
CCUAACACAUGCAAGUCGAACGGUAGCACAGAGGAGCUUGCUCCUUGGGUGACGAGUGGCGGACGGGUGAGUAAUGUCUGGGAAACUGCCCGAUGGAGGGGGAUAACUACUGGAAACGGUAGCUAAUACCGCAUAACGUCGCAAGACCAAAGAGGGGGACCUUCGGGCCUCUUGCCAUCGGAUGUGCCCAGAUGGGAUUAGCUAGUAGGUGGGGUAACGGCUCACCUAGGCGACGAUCCCUAGCUGGUCUGAGAGGAUGACCAGCCACACUGGAACUGAGACACGGUCCAGACUCCUACGGGAGGCAGCAGUGGGGAAUAUUGCACAAUGGGCGCAAGCCUGAUGCAGCCAUGCCGCGUGUAUGAAGAAGGCCUUCGGGUUGUAAAGUACUUUCAGCGAGGAGGAAGGCGUUGUGGUUAAUAACCGCAGCGAUUGACGUUACUCGCAGAAGAAGCACCGGCUAACUCCGUGCCAGCAGCCGCGGUAAUACGGAGGGUGCAAGCGUUAAUCGGAAUUACUGGGCGUAAAGCGCACGCAGGCGGUCUGUCAAGUCGGAUGUGAAAUCCCCGGGCUCAACCUGGGAACUGCAUCCGAAACUGGCAGGCUAGAGUCUUGUAGAGGGGGGUAGAAUUCCAGGUGUAGCGGUGAAAUGCGUAGAGAUCUGGAGGAAUACCGGUGGCGAAGGCGGCCCCCUGGACAAAGACUGACGCUCAGGUGCGAAAGCGUGGGGAGCAAACAGGAUUAGAUACCCUGGUAGUCCACGCUGUAAACGAUGUCGACUUGGAGGUUGUGCCCUUGAGGCGUGGCUUCCGGAGCUAACGCGUUAAGUCGACCGCCUGGGGAGUACGGCCGCAAGGUUAAAACUCAAAUGAAUUGACGGGGGCCCGCACAAGCGGUGGAGCAUGUGGUUUAAUUCGAUGCAACGCGAAGAACCUUACCUACUCUUGACAUCCAGAGAAUUUGCUAGAGAUAGCUUAGUGCCUUCGGGAACUCUGAGACAGGUGCUGCAUGGCUGUCGUCAGCUCGUGUUGUGAAAUGUUGGGUUAAGUCCCGCAACGAGCGCAACCCUUAUCCUUUGUUGCCAGCACGUAAUGGUGGGAACUCAAAGGAGACUGCCGGUGAUAAACCGGAGGAAGGUGGGGAUGACGUCAAGCCAUCAUGGCCCUUACGAGUAGGGCUACACACGUGCUACAAUGGCAUAUACAAAGAGAAGCGAACUCGCGAGAGCAAGCGGACCUCAUAAAGUAUGUCGUAGUCCGGAUUGGAGUCUGCAACUCGACUCCAUGAAGUCGGAAUCGCUAGUAAUCGUAGAUCAGAAUGCUACGGUGAAUACGUUCCCGGGCCUUGUACACACCGCCCGUCACACCAUGGGAGUGGGUUGCAAAAGAAGUAGGUAGCUUAACCUUCGGGAGGGCGCUUACCACUUUGUGAUUCAUGACUGGGGUGAAGUCG